CCUACGGGAGGCAGCAGUGAGGAAUAUUGGUCAAUGGACGAGAGUCUGAACCAACCAAGUCGCGUGAAGGAUGACUGCCCUAUGGGUUGUAAACUUCUUUUAUAUGGGAAUAACAUGUUCCACGUGUGGGCUUUUGUAUGUACCCUGUGAAUAAGGAUCGGCUAACUCCGUGCCAGCAGCCGCGGUAAUGCGGAGGAUCCGAGCGUUAUCCGGAUUUGUUGGGUUUAAAGGGAGCGUAGGUGGAUUGUUAAGUCAGUUGUGAAAGUUUGCGGCUCAACCGUAAAAUUGCAGUUGAAACUGGCAGUCUUGAGUACAGUAGAGGUGGGCGGAAUUCGUGGUGUAGCGGUGAAAUGCUUAGAUAUCACGAAGAACUCCGAUUGCGAAGGCAGCUCACUGGACUGCAACUGACACUGAGGCUCGAAAGUGUGGGUAUCAAACAGGAUUAGAUACCCCUGUAGUC
Molecule: ribosomal RNA, 460 nt
Filed under: uncultured bacterium
Lineage: Bacteria
Description: partial 16S ribosomal RNA
Rfam family: Bacterial small subunit ribosomal RNA
Source: RNAcentral